This is a non-coding RNA of Castor canadensis (American beaver), 434 nucleotides long. The record is from the annotation of a RefSeq genome assembly. NCBI's taxonomy places the organism in Eukaryota, Metazoa, Chordata, Mammalia, Rodentia, Castoridae.
UACAUCCACCAAGGCUUCUCCCAUAGAUCUCAAUGACAACUCAGUCCAAAUCCCAGGGCAUGGAGUGGACGUGGAGGAUCAUUUUCCUGCUGGCAGCUGCCCCAGGUGUCCACUCCCAGAUCCAGCUGACACAGUCUGGGGCUGAGCUGAAGAAGCCUGGGGAGACAGUGAAGGUCUCCUGCAAGGCUUCUGGAUACACCUUCACCAGCUAUGGUAUGAGCUGGGUGAGGCAGGAGGCAGGAAAAGGCUUGCAGUACAUGGGAUGGAUCAACACUGAAACUGGAAAACCUAUGUACAAUGAGGGCUUCACAGAGCGAUUUGUCUUCUCCAUGGACACCUCUGUCAGCACCGCAUAUCUGCAGAUAAACAGCCUGAAGUCUGAGGACACAGCUAUGUAUUACUGUGCAAGGCACAGUGUGAAAACCACAUCCUGA